UACGUAGGGGGCAAGCGUUGUCCGGAUUUAUUGGGCGUAAAGAGCGUGUAGGCGACUUUACAGGUCCGUUGUGAAAACUCGAGGCUCAACCUCGAGACGCCGGUGGAAACCGUAAAGCUAGAGUCCGGAAGAGGAGAGUGGAAUUCCUGGUGUAGCGGUGAAAUGCGCAGAUAUCAGGAAGAACACCCGUGGCGAAGGCGGCUCUCUGGGACGGUACUGACGCUGAGACGCGAAAGCGUGGGGAGCAAACAGG
RNAcentral lists this ribosomal RNA (253 nucleotides) under uncultured bacterium. RNAcentral describes it as "partial 16S ribosomal RNA". It matches the Rfam family "Bacterial small subunit ribosomal RNA", at positions 524 to 776 of the family's 1533-position model. The record is from RNAcentral.